RNAcentral lists this ribosomal RNA (320 nucleotides) under uncultured Streptococcus sp. Its description in RNAcentral is "bacterial SSU rRNA". It matches the Rfam family "Bacterial small subunit ribosomal RNA", at positions 1060 to 1382 of the family's 1533-position model. Lineage: Bacteria; Bacillati; Bacillota; Bacilli; Lactobacillales; Streptococcaceae. The record is from RNAcentral.
UCGUGUCGUGAGAUGUUGGGUUAAGUCCCGCAACGAGCGCAACCCCUAUUGUUAGUUGCCAUCAUUCAUUGGGCACUCUAGCGAGACUGCCGGUAAUAAACCGGAGGAAGGUGGGGAUGACGUCAAAUCAUCAUGCCCCUUAUGACCUGGGCUACACACGUGCUACAAUGGUUGGUACAACGAGUUGCGAGUCGGUGACGGCGAGCUAAUCUCUUAAAGCCAAUCUCAGUUCGGAUUGUAGGCUGCAACUCGCCUACAUGAAGUCGGAAUCGCUAGUAAUCGCGGAUCAGCUCGCCGCGGUGAAUACGUUCCCGGGCCUU